This 72-nucleotide transfer RNA is filed under the name Stegodyphus mimosarum. It matches the Rfam family "tRNA". Rfam says of the family: Transfer RNA (tRNA) molecules are approximately 80 nucleotides in length. The record is from Rfam by way of RNAcentral. Lineage: Eukaryota; Metazoa; Arthropoda; Arachnida; Araneae; Eresidae.
GCCUUCGUGAUGUAGUGGUCAGCACGCUGGGCGCGUAUUCCAGAGGUCCUGGUUCGAAUCUCGGCGAAUGCG